Long non-coding RNA from Ipomoea nil (Japanese morning glory), 128 nucleotides. RefSeq lists it as uncharacterized. The transcript is spliced from 3 exons. The record is from RefSeq and is a predicted model, not a curated record. Lineage: Eukaryota; Viridiplantae; Streptophyta; Magnoliopsida; Solanales; Convolvulaceae.
GUCCCCGUUGAGCCUUUUGUGUUUGUUCAAUAAGUGCUAAGCACCUAAUCCCCUUUGUGUUUGUUCUUCUUGUGUUAACCCUUGUCAUUUAACCCUUAAACCUUAGCCAAAAUGAAAAAGAAUAUAUC